UAGGGAAUCUUCGGCAAUGGACGAAAGUCUGACCGAGCAACGCCGCGUGAGUGAAGAAGGUUUUCGGAUCGUAAAACUCUGUUGUUAGAGAAGAACAAGGACGUUAGUAACUGAACGUCCCCUGACGGUAUCUAACCAGAAAGCCACGGCUAACUACGUGCCAGCAGCCGCGGUAAUACGUAGGUGGCAAGCGUUGUCCGGAUUUAUUGGACGUAAAGCGAGCGCAGGCGGUUUCUUAAGUCUGAUGUGAAAGCCCCCGGCUCAACCGGGGAUGGUCAUUGGAAACUGGGAGACUUGAGUGCAGAAGAGGAGAGUGGAAUUCCAUGUGUAGCGGUGAAAUGCGUAGAUAUAUGGAGGAACACCAGUGGCGAAGGCGGCUCUCUGGUCUGUAACUGACGCUGAGGCUCGAAAGCGUGGGGAGCAAACAGG
This 429-nucleotide ribosomal RNA is filed under the name Gemmatimonadota bacterium. RNAcentral describes it as "Gemmatimonadetes bacterium partial 16S ribosomal RNA". It matches the Rfam family "Bacterial small subunit ribosomal RNA", at positions 355 to 776 of the family's 1533-position model. The record is from RNAcentral. Lineage: Bacteria; Pseudomonadati; Gemmatimonadota.